RNAcentral lists this long non-coding RNA (495 nucleotides) under Olea europaea subsp. europaea. The record is from RNAcentral. Lineage: Eukaryota; Viridiplantae; Streptophyta; Magnoliopsida; Lamiales; Oleaceae.
CCAAGAUCCAACUUUGUAAAGUGCCUAGCAUCAUUCAGGGGGAAAAAAAUUUACUAUCGACAAACACAUAUUAAAAUACCUGAAGCGAAAGCCCAGACGAAGCCCGAAAUUUCCCAGAUCAUUUUCGACUAAUGAAGCUUAGGGCUCGAAAUUAGAACCCUGGGUUGAUUAAAUUUCAUUAUAUGUAACCCCUGAUCGCAAGAUUUCUUCAUUGGCGGUGGCUUUUUGGUUUCAGUGAAACCUGUUACUACUGGAAUGGUGGUGUGGGUGGCGGGGUCCAUCUAACCACCUUAUUCCGCCACGGAGGACUUUUCUGGCAAACCUGAUACGGGCCCGCAACGUGAAAGGUGCAAUUAUUGGGCCUUUCGGCCCGGAAAUUUACUUUAGACUUGAAUAGGGAUCGCAAAAUCUCUUGAAUUCUCACAUCCCCAGUUGCAUUGUAUAGGAUGGGAAAUAUGGUCUUCGCCUAAAAUUAUUCGGGAAAUUUGUAGAAAU